RNAcentral lists this transfer RNA (75 nucleotides) under Pampus argenteus (silver pomfret). Its description in RNAcentral is "tRNA-Lys". It matches the Rfam family "tRNA". Rfam says of the family: Transfer RNA (tRNA) molecules are approximately 80 nucleotides in length. Their secondary structure includes four short double-helical elements and three loops (D, anti-codon, and T loops). Further hydrogen bonds mediate the characteristic L-shaped molecular structure. tRNAs have two regions of fundamental functional importance: the anti-codon, which is responsible for specific mRNA codon recognition, and the 3' end, to which the tRNAs corresponding amino acid is attached (by aminoacyl-tRNA synthetases). tRNAs cope with the degeneracy of the genetic code in two manners: having more than one tRNA (with a specific anti-codon) for a particular amino acid; and 'wobble' base-pairing, i.e. permitting non-standard base-pairing at the 3rd anti-codon position. Lineage: Eukaryota; Metazoa; Chordata; Actinopteri; Scombriformes; Stromateidae. RNAcentral also lists the same sequence under 3 other names. The record is from RNAcentral.
CGCUAAGAAGCUGAAUUAGGAGAUAGCGUUAGCCUUUUAAGCUAAAGAAUGGUGACUUCCAACCACCCUUAGUGA